AUGAAUGGCCCUUGGGUGGUCAUCUGGGACUUCAAUGAGAUUCUGUAUUCCCAUGAAAAGGAAGGAGGGGAUCCACGUCCAAGUCAGAUGAUGCAAAACUUCAGAGAUGCGCUGGUGGAUUGCCAACUGGAGGACAUGGGACAUAUGGGUGAAAUAUUUACUUGGAGAAGGAGGAGACUGGGGGAAAGGUUAGACAGAGGUGUGUGUAAUGGUGCAUUCCAUGCACUAUUCCCGAAUGCAACCAUAACCAAUGCUGAGCAUUCUAAAUCAGAUCAUCGUCCUUUGGUCCUGGACUUGGAAGGUGAUGGUAAUGUUGUCAACCGUUCACCUGAUGGAACCCGUCGCUUUCAGGCAAGAUGGUUGCAAGAAUAUGAUGUUACGUAG
RNAcentral lists this ribosomal RNA (384 nucleotides) under Triticum aestivum (bread wheat). RNAcentral's name for it is "partial small subunit ribosomal RNA". The record is from RNAcentral. Lineage: Eukaryota; Viridiplantae; Streptophyta; Magnoliopsida; Poales; Poaceae.